Molecule: ribosomal RNA, 229 nt
Filed under: Nematodirus helvetianus
Lineage: Eukaryota; Metazoa; Nematoda; Chromadorea; Rhabditida; Molineidae
Source: RNAcentral
ARCGAUAGAAUACAGCAUGGAUUGUUUUGCUGUGUGUCGAGUGGUACUUSUGUGUURCAGCGAAUCCCAUUCAAGUGAAGAAAAUAUGCAACAUGGCUCUGUAUUAGUGUCAAAGCUCCUGAAUGAUGUGAACGCGAUUGUUGCCGUGUCGAAUCGUACUCGAUGAGAAUGAGAUGGAUUUGAUCGGGGACCUGCUGUGAACAAUCGACUGCUCCGACAUCAUUUGCAU